This 928-nucleotide long non-coding RNA is filed under the name Equus asinus (donkey). RNAcentral's name for it is "lncRNA (ENSEASG00005030230.1)". Lineage: Eukaryota; Metazoa; Chordata; Mammalia; Perissodactyla; Equidae. The record is from RNAcentral.
CAAAGGGGAGAGAGGGCCAGGAGGGAGAGGAUUAAGAAUUACCCAAGUUCCAUAAACAUGACCGGAGACAGCCCUUAGGACUGGAAUGUGACAAAAGGAAAGUGCCUGGAGAAAUGCUGUGUCUGCAGGAGGGAGAGGGGAACCAGCCAUAACCGGGCUCUGGGCUGUGAGUUUUACAUACAUUCACUACGCAUGAAAAACCCUGGGAGGACCGAGCAGAAGCCGGACUCUGAAGUCUGAAGUCACACGGCUAAUAGAUGGAGGAGCUGGGAUUUCAUUGUGCGGGUAAGUGCCGGUGUCACGGAGAUAUUCCUUCAGAGUCAGAGCGACGGACGCUCAGCAGAGUCUUCCAGAGAAGAUGGGACUUCAAACCGCACAUGCAAGGAUGGUUAGGACCUGGAGAGAAAGGACAUCCUCUCACGCAGCAAUUCCAGAGAGCCGAGUACUGAUGCGCUUGGAUCCAGAGGGGCAGAGAGCCGCAAAGUCGGGGCAUCAAGUGACUACGAUGGCGCAUGUGUGCAUCGAUGUUUGUGGUUGUCUCCCUGGUGUGGACCCGGGACCAAGCUUCAGCAUCCGGCACUAGAGCAACACGGGGCCUGUGCGUGCCGAUGGUCUUAACAGCGUUUGGUAAUUAAAAGAGAUACCUAGGUCAAGAGUUUUGAUAAUCCACGUGUGGUAAAUGUGGUUCACAGACUGUCCUCUACUUUUAUGAACCCACACUUUGGUAUACUAUAUACUGACAUCCCUGAGCCACAUUCCCCAUGCUGAAUUAGGUCUUUCCGUACAUCAGCAGGCUAAUAAUAACUUCCAUCCAUCUCCUGGGUGAGGUUCUGUAGUUUCCAGCAAAUGAUUUUCCUCCUCUCCACCUCCCCCAUCCCUCACUGCACCGACCUGCCCUCCAGGACUGAGACUGGAGCUGAGACUGGUG